RNAcentral lists this ribosomal RNA (112 nucleotides) under Labrus bergylta (ballan wrasse). The record is from RNAcentral. Lineage: Eukaryota; Metazoa; Chordata; Actinopteri; Labriformes; Labridae.
AAUUUAAAAAAUAAUUUAAAAGAAACACGCCCGAUGUCGGAAGCUAAGCAGGGUCGGGCCUGGUUAGUACUUGGAUGGGAGACCGCCUGGGAAUACCAGGUGUUGUAAAUUU